GCCGGUGGUCUUGGCGGAGGGGCCACACCCGUUCCCAUUCCGAACACGGAAGUUAAGCCCUCCAGCGCCGAUGGUACUAGUUGGUUCGCCUUCUGGGAGAGUAGGACACUGCCGGCU
RNAcentral lists this ribosomal RNA (117 nucleotides) under Candidatus Aegiribacteria sp. MLS_C. Lineage: Bacteria; Pseudomonadati. The record is from RNAcentral.